AAAAAUAGUGCUCCCUCUCUCACAAAAAAGCAAGUCAUUCUUAUAAUAUUGAGGGUGGAUCCACAUGAUUAUGAUUAAGAGAGAUAAUGCAUGUCACCGGGUGCACCCAAUAAUUUCUUGAGACAUUCAGCUGAGCCAGUAUUUAUAUAUUGAUGCCAGAAAUGGUCCUAAGUAAAUUAAACCAAUAAGAUGAUGUUAUGUUAAUAUAAAUAUAAUU
RNAcentral lists this unclassified non-coding RNA (217 nucleotides) under Hevea brasiliensis (rubber tree). Lineage: Eukaryota; Viridiplantae; Streptophyta; Magnoliopsida; Malpighiales; Euphorbiaceae. The record is from RNAcentral.